Molecule: long non-coding RNA, 765 nt
Organism: Cucumis sativus (cucumber)
Lineage: Eukaryota; Viridiplantae; Streptophyta; Magnoliopsida; Cucurbitales; Cucurbitaceae
Exons: 3
Source: RefSeq, a predicted model, not a curated record
CCAAUUUCUAAAAAAUAAAUAGGUAUUAUCGAACUGUGUGCCCUACCACAAACCCAACAUCUUCUUGUUUGUGUGACCUAGCAACUGUCGACGCUCCAUCUUCCUCCACCGUCGGCUGUAACACGACGCAAGUCACACAACUCCACUGUCUGAUUUCACCUUCGUUCCUAGACUUCCUCGUUGCUGUCUCUCCUUUGGGAUCCUUCCGUCUAGCCGAGACCUUAAUUGGCCAUAGCUUGUCGUUGCAUAAGCGUCGUCGGUCAUCGUCUCCCCCGUUCCGUUCUAGCCGGUCUUCUCAUGUGCAUAACCCACGUUAGUCGAACGUCUUAGUUUUCUGUGUUCGAGUCGUAGCACAUGAAGCCUUUGAUUGAACUGGCCGAGCCAUUUCUUCUCUAAUUCAAGCCGAGGAGUCUUUCUUGCCAAGUUGCGUGUGAGCCAUCCUCUUUAAGUCGAGCCACCUUCAGUUUUAGCCCCUUCUUGCAACAUAUUUGAGACAUUUGUGGAUUGAUUCUUUGGAAAAUUGGGUUAUUUGAAUUCUUAUUGUCAGCCAGAAUUUUAGCUAAUCUCAAGGUUACCAGGCGUUCAAGUCAAAGCUAGGAAAGGUAAGGCAAGCUGCUAUGCGAUGAGGCGUUAGCCAGACGGUUAAAGUUGAAGGAGCGACACUAGGCAUUUGAGGCCUUAAGUUUUAUUGUAAAACAAGCAUGUAAUAUGUACAUUUGGACGGCAUAUUAUUUAAGUAAUAAAAGAAGUCCUAUUUGAUAUAUA